RNAcentral lists this ribosomal RNA (281 nucleotides) under uncultured bacterium. RNAcentral describes it as "partial 16S ribosomal RNA". It matches the Rfam family "Bacterial small subunit ribosomal RNA", at positions 524 to 786 of the family's 1533-position model. The record is from RNAcentral.
UACGGAGGGUGCGAGCGUUGUCCGGAAUCACUGGGCGUAAAGGGCGCGUAGGCGGCAUGCCAAGCGUGUGGUGAAAGCCCGGGGCUCAACCCCGGGUCGGCCGUGCGGACUGGCGUGCUCGAGCACUGUAGGGGCGGGUGGAAUUCCGGGUGUAGCGGUGGAAUGCGUAGAGAUCCGGAAGAACACCGGUGGCGAAGGCGGCCCGCUGGGCAGGAAGACACCGCAAGGUGUCGGCUGACGCUGAGGCGCGACAGCGUGGGGAGCAAACAGGAUUAGAACCC